CCACCUCUCUCCCUUUUGUGUUUGCAGCCUUAAUGCAAUGGUGGAGUAACUAGCGCCUGCAAUGACUGCUUGGUUGAAGAUACUCGCUAACGAGAUUUGGAGGCGGGCACAGCAUGGUAGUCCUUCCUGAAGAUACGUGUAUGGAGGAGGACACAUAAACGACAUUACUCCAUCUUCCCAGUGGCUAUAACUCGUAUAGGAGAUUCUGCACUCUGCAGGUGUCAGACUCAAUGGAAUUAGAUGGAAAAGCCUGGAUGGAUGUCUUCCACCCCUGCGGUAUGGUGCUGUUAGGAUUCUGAUCACUUUGCAAGCAGAAAUAAGAGGAAUGCAAGCCUUAGAGUCUGCGUAUGUGGAGCUGUAUAUUAUUAUUUGUAUUGUGGUAGCUAUGUUGUGUUAGUACUAUGCAAACAUCAACAAAAGAGCAUUCCUACCCUGAAGAGUUUACAAUCUAAUUAUAAGACAGGAGGCAAGAGGUGGAUGCAAGUAGCAGAUGUGGAAAGUACAAGGUAACAAUCUGACAACUAUGAUCAGCGGGAUAGGCACUGGUCACAGCACAUCUACUAACAUCAUAACUCUCCUUCUCCUUUAUCUGUCAAAUGUUUUGGCAAAUCUAGAUGGAAGAGGGGAGGGAACAAAUGAGAAGGCUUGGAAACAGAGUGAUUAAUUAUUAAGGUGUCCAGAUCUCUUUACUAGUGUCUCCCUUAAGCCACAUUUAUGUGACUAGAACAGGAGUACUUGUGACACCUUAUGCUCUAAUUAAUUUGUUAGUCUCUAAGGUGCCACAAGUACUCCUGUUCUUUUUGCGGAUACAGACUAACACGGCUGCUACUCUGAAACCUGUCAUUUAUGUGAAUGUUUUUGAUCUUCAAGGUAAGCCUCAUUGGAUGUGUGUUCUUCAUAUGAAAAGUCUCAAAGGAACACACCCAAAGAAUAGUGCCUUUCAUGGGAAAAAUUACCACUGCUGCUACCACUUCUCAGCCUGUUAAUGUAAAAUGGAUCCAAAUGUCACUACUGCCUUAAAAGAAGUUUAUUUCCCCAAAUAUCUCCCCCUAAACGUAUUCAGCUAGAUUUUCCAGAUGGAGUAAAUUAACAUCACUCCAUUAAAAUUAUGUCAGUUUACACCAGCUGCAGAUUGGCUGUCUGUUCAGACUAUCAAAAUCUUUUAACUAAUUUAUCUAAGAAAAUGCAUGGAGAUGAGGGUGAGAAAAAGGAAAGGAGAGGGGAAGAAGGUCCUGUGAAAGGAGAGAAGUGUUAGACAAAUCAUCAUCAACCAUCUCAUUGACCCCAGGUAGCAUCAGGUUAACAACCUGCAUCUCAGCAGUAGUGACAUUUGUGACGUUUCACUCCAUAUUCUUUAUGAAAAUAUGCUUAUGAUAUGAAUGACAUAAAUGAGAUAUACUGCAUGCAAGAUGGCUCAUGUAAGAUAUCAUUGGAAAAGUUAUGAUUUACUGAAUGUGAUUAUCCAAUUUGUAUGCCGGUAUCAUUUCUGUAUCUAAAGUUAGGAAUACUAACUAUGUAUCUGUAUUUCAAAUGUGUUACUUUGGGUAUCUCCCCCAUCUAGCCCGUUAGGUAUAACAAUGGAAAAGCCAGACAGGACUAAUGGCCCAUUAGCAAAGACAAUGGACUGUGAAAGAGCUUAGUCUUCCUGUGGACCUUACAGACAGCCUACGAGUAAUGGUUGCCACAGCCCUGAAGAGACAUGGGCCUGAGUCACCUGGUACUGGACCCACCCCUUUGAAUGCCAGUGUUCUUCUACUGGGAGACAAAGGGUUCCCACCAUACACAAGAGCUAUAUAAGGCAGGGAAGUGACAUCGUGGUUCUCCUUUGCAUCCCCACCCAAAGAGACACUGAAAAACACCUGAAAGCAAGAACUGAACUGAGGGGAGAAGGGUUGAACCCAGGCUGAGAGGGUGUCCAGUCUGUGAGUGGAAAUACCUGAAGUCUCAAGCUGCAGGCCAGUGCAGCUGCCUUUCAAGACUUUCUGUAAUCUACCUGUGACAAUAUUUAGGGUGAGAAAUUACUAUUGGUAACCUAUUUCUUCAGUGAAACAAGCUUAGUAUGCAGAUUUUGUUUUAUUUGCUUAGUAAUCUGCUUUGUUCUGUUU
Long non-coding RNA from Malaclemys terrapin pileata, 2105 nucleotides. RefSeq lists it as uncharacterized. NCBI's taxonomy places the organism in Eukaryota, Metazoa, Chordata, Testudines, Emydidae. The record is from RefSeq and is a predicted model, not a curated record. The transcript is spliced from 4 exons.